RNAcentral lists this ribosomal RNA (661 nucleotides) under uncultured Staphylococcus sp. RNAcentral's name for it is "bacterial SSU rRNA". It matches the Rfam family "Bacterial small subunit ribosomal RNA", at positions 62 to 705 of the family's 1533-position model. The record is from RNAcentral. Lineage: Bacteria; Bacillati; Bacillota; Bacilli; Caryophanales; Staphylococcaceae.
UCGAGCGAACGGACGAGAAGCUUGCUUCUCUGAUGUUAGCGGCGGACGGGUGAGUAACACGUGGAUAACCUACCUAUAAGACUGGGAUAACUUCGGGAAACCGGAGCUAAUACCGGAUAAUAUUUUGAACCGCAUGGUUCAAAAGUGAAAGACGGUCUUGCUGUCACUUAUAGAUGGAUCCGCGCUGCAUUAGCUAGUUGGUAAGGUAACGGCUUACCAAGGCAACGAUGCAUAGCCGACCUGAGAGGGUGAUCGGCCACACUGGAACUGAGACACGGUCCAGACUCCUACGGGAGGCAGCAGUAGGGAAUCUUCCGCAAUGGGCGAAAGCCUGACGGAGCAACGCCGCGUGAGUGAUGAAGGUCUUCGGAUCGUAAAACUCUGUUAUUAGGGAAGAACAUAUGUGUAAGUAACUGUGCACAUCUUGACGGUACCUAAUCAGAAAGCCACGGCUAACUACGUGCCAGCAGCCGCGGUAAUACGUAGGUGGCAAGCGUUAUCCGGAAUUAUUGGGCGCAAAGCGCGCGUAGGCGGUUUUUUAAGUCUGAUGUGAAAGCCCACGGCUCAACCGUGGAGGGUCAUUGGAAACUGGAAAACUUGAGUGCAGAAGAGGAAAGUGGAAUUCCAUGUGUAGCGGUGAAAUGCGCAGAGAUAUGGAGGA